This 492-nucleotide ribosomal RNA is filed under the name uncultured bacterium. RNAcentral describes it as "partial 16S ribosomal RNA". It matches the Rfam family "Bacterial small subunit ribosomal RNA", at positions 29 to 507 of the family's 1533-position model. The record is from RNAcentral.
AGUGAACGCUGGCGGUAGGCCUAACACAUGCAAGUCGAACGGCAGCACAGUAAGAGCUUGCUCUUACGGGUGGCGAGUGGCGGACGGGUGAUGAAUACAUCGGAAUCUACUUUUUCGUGGGGGAUAACGUAGGGAAACUUACGCUAAUACCGCAUACGACCUACGUGUGAAAGCAGGGGAUCUUCGGACCUUGCGCGAUUGAAUGAGCCGAUGUCGGAUUAGCUAGUUGGCGGGGUAAAGGCCCACCAAGGCGACGAUCCGUAGCUGGUCUGAGAGGAUGAUCAGCCACACUGGAACUGAGACACGGUCCAGACUCCUACGGGAGGCAGCAGUGGGGAAUAUUGGACAAUGGGCGCAAGCCUGAUCCAGCCAUACCGCGUGGGUGAAGAAGGACUUCGGGUUGUAAAGCCCUUUUGUUGGGAAAGAAAAGCAGCAGGUUAAUACCCCGCUGUUCUGACGGUACCCAAAGAAUAAGCACCGGCUAACUUCGUG